This 261-nucleotide ribosomal RNA is filed under the name uncultured archaeon. RNAcentral describes it as "partial 16S ribosomal RNA". It matches the Rfam family "Archaeal small subunit ribosomal RNA", at positions 748 to 1009 of the family's 1478-position model. The record is from RNAcentral.
AGGGUGUAAACGCUGCGGGCUUGGUGUUGGGGGUCCUUUGAGGGCGCCCAGUGCCGGAGAGAAGUUGUUAAGCCUGCUGCUUGGGGAGUACGUCCGCAAGGAUGAAACUUAAAGGAAUUGGCGGGGGAGCACCGCAACGGGAGGAGCGUGCGGUUCAAUUGGAUUCAACGCCGGACAACUCACCAGGAGCGACAGCAAUAUGUAGGCCAGGCUGAAGACCUUGCCUGAAUCGCUGAGAGGUGGUGCAUGGCGUAGACGUCU